RNA transcript from Chlorocebus sabaeus (green monkey), 1189 nucleotides. It is a transcript of the gene named tescalcin, with no coding region annotated. NCBI's taxonomy places the organism in Eukaryota, Metazoa, Chordata, Mammalia, Primates, Cercopithecidae. The record is from RefSeq and is a predicted model, not a curated record.
UUUCCUGACCGCGCAGUGCGCGAAACCGGCGUGCGCUAGGACCGCGGCGCGCCGCCCUCCGCCGUUAUAAGAGGCCGCGCUCCGGCCCCACGCGGAACCCGGGGCUCCGAGCCUUCGCCGGCGUCCCGACCUGAGGCCAGCCGUGAGGCCAGUCCCGCGGCCAGUCCCGCCGCUGCGAAGCCGAGGCCAGUGCGGGGCCUGAGAGGGACGCGCGCCCCGGGGCCCCCGCCGCGGGUACCAUGGGCGCUGCCCACUCCGCGUCCGAGGAGGUGCGGGAGCUCGAGGGCAAGACCGGCUUCUUCGCAGGCUGGUGUGUGGUUUCCACUUCAGCACUCCUCAGUCUGGGCUCAUCACCUUCAAGGGCUCAGCAGCCACUUGGACGGGCAGUCUCAUCAGAUCAGAUCGAGCAGCUCCAUCGGAGAUUUAAGCAGCUGAGUGGAGACCAGCCUACCAUUCGCAAGGAGAACUUCAACAAUGUCCCAGACCUGGAGCUCAACCCCAUCCGAUCCAAAAUUGUUCGUGCCUUCUUCGACAACAGGAACCUGCGCAAGGGACCCAGUGGCCUGGCUGAUGAGAUCAAUUUCGAGGACUUCCUGACCAUCAUGUCCUACUUCCGGCCCAUCGACACCACCAUGGACGAGGAACAGGUGGAGCUGUCCCGGAAGGAGAAACUGAGAUUUCUGUUCCACAUGUACGACUCGGACAGCGAUGGCCGCAUCACCCUGGAAGAAUAUCGAAAUGUAAAGUGGUCGAGGAACUGCUGUCAGGAAACCCCCACAUCGAGAAGGAGUCCGCUCGCUCCAUCGCCGACGGGGCCAUGAUGGAGGCGGCCAGCGUGUGCAUGGGGCAGAUGGAGCCUGAUCAGGUGUACGAGGGGAUCACCUUCGAGGACUUCCUGAAGAUCUGGCAGGGGAUUGACAUUGAGACCAAGAUGCACGUCCGCUUCCUUAACAUGGAAGCCAUGGCCCUCUGCCACUGACCCGCCGCCACCUUCGCAGAGAAACCGCACUUUGCAAUGGGGCCGCCUCCCCGUGUAGCUGGAGCAGCCCAGGCCCGGCGGACAGCCUCAUCCUGCAGCACCGGUACACAGCCAAGGCUCGUCCGCACACGUUGUGUCUUGUAGGGUAUGGUAUGUGGGACUUUGCUGUUUUUAUCUCCAAUAAAAAAAAAAAAAAAGUUUGUUAAUUAA